RNAcentral lists this ribosomal RNA (484 nucleotides) under uncultured bacterium. Its description in RNAcentral is "partial 16S ribosomal RNA". It matches the Rfam family "Bacterial small subunit ribosomal RNA", at positions 30 to 507 of the family's 1533-position model. The record is from RNAcentral.
AUUGAACGCUGGCGGCAGGCCUAACACAUGCAAGUCGAGCGGAUGAAGGGAGCUUGCUCCUGGAUUCAGCGGCGGACGGGUGAGUAAUGCCUAGGAAUCUUCCUGGUAGUGGGUGAUAACGUCCGUAAACGGGCGCUAAUACCGCAUACGUCCUGAGGGAGAAAGUGGGGGAUCUUCGGACCUCACGCUAUCAGAUGAGCCUAGGUCGGUUUAGCUAGUUGGUGGGGUAAAGGCCUACCAAGGCGACGAUCCGUAACUGGUCUGAGAGGAUGAUCAGUCACACUGGAACUGAGACACGGUCCAGACUACUAAGGGAGGCAGCAGUGGGGAAUAUUGGACAAUGGGCGAAAGCCUGAUCCAGCCAUGCCGCGUGUGUGAAGAAGGUCUUCGGAGUGUAAAGCACUUUAAGUUGGGAGGAAGGGCAGUAAGUUAAGACCUUGCUGUUUUGACGGUACCAACAGAAUAAGCACCGGCUAACUUCGUG